UGAGCUUGAUCCUGGCUCAGGAUGAACGCUAGCGGCAGGCUUAACACAUGCAAGUCGAGGGGUAUAGUUCUUCGGAACUAGAGACCGGCGCACGGGUGCGUAACGCGUAUGCAAUCUACCUUUUACAGAGGGAUAGCCCAGAGAAAUUUGGAUUAAUACCUCAUAGUAUAUAGCCCUGGCAUCAGGAUUAUAUUAAAGUCACAACGGUAAAAGAUGAGCAUGCGUCCCAUUAGCUAGUUGGUAAGGUAACGGCUUACCAAGGCUACGAUGGGUAGGGGUCCUGAGAGGGAGAUCCCCCACACUGGUACUGAGACACGGACCAGACUCCUACGGGAGGCAGCAGUGAGGAAUAUUGGACAAUGGGCGCAAGCCUGAUCCAGCCAUGCCGCGUGCAGGAUGACGGUCCUAUGGAUUGUAAACUGCUUUUAUACGAGAAGAAACAUUCCGACGUGUCGGAACUGACGGUAUCG
This 470-nucleotide ribosomal RNA is filed under the name Flavobacterium sp. 01WB03.3-54. Its description in RNAcentral is "bacterial SSU rRNA". It matches the Rfam family "Bacterial small subunit ribosomal RNA", at positions 1 to 480 of the family's 1533-position model. The record is from RNAcentral. Lineage: Bacteria; Pseudomonadati; Bacteroidota; Flavobacteriia; Flavobacteriales; Flavobacteriaceae.